GACGUAGGAUGCGAGCGUUGUCCGGAUUUAUUGGGCGUAAAGGGUGCGUAGGCGGCUUGCUAAGUUUGAUGUGAAAUCCUGGGGCUCAACCCUGGGACUGCAUUGAAUACUGGCAGGCUAGAGUACUGGAGAGGAAACUGGAAUUUACGGUGUAGCAGUGAAAUGCGUAGAGAUCGUAAGGAAGACCAGUGGCGAAGGCGAGUUUCUGGACAGUUACUGACGCUGAGGCACGAAGGCCAGGGGAGCAAACGGG
Molecule: ribosomal RNA, 253 nt
Filed under: uncultured bacterium
Lineage: Bacteria
Description: partial 16S ribosomal RNA
Rfam family: Bacterial small subunit ribosomal RNA
Source: RNAcentral